Molecule: ribosomal RNA, 702 nt
Filed under: uncultured Helicobacteraceae bacterium
Lineage: Bacteria; Pseudomonadati; Campylobacterota; Epsilonproteobacteria; Campylobacterales; Helicobacteraceae
Description: bacterial SSU rRNA
Rfam family: Bacterial small subunit ribosomal RNA
Source: RNAcentral
GUGGCGCACGGGUGAGUAAUACAUAAGAAUCUGCCUUUCUGUGGAGAAUACCCUGGAGAAAUUCAGGUUAAUACUGCAUAAGCCGGAAACGGGAAAGGUGGCCUCAAGCUACCGCAGAAAGAUGAGCUUAUGUCCUAUCAGCUAGUUGGUGAGGUAAAGGCUCACCAAGGCUAAGACGGGUAACCGGCCUGAGAGGGUGAUCGGUCACACUGGAACUGAGACACGGUCCAGACUCCUACGGGAGGCAGCAGUGGGGAAUUUUGCACAAUGGGCGCAAGCCUGAUGCAGCGACGCCGCGUGGAGGAUGAAGGUUUUCGGAUUGUAAACUCCUGUUAAGUGGGAAGAAAGACCCUUGUCUAAUAAAUAAGGGGGAUGACGGUACCACUAGAGAAAGCACCGGCAAACUUCGUGCCAGCAGCCGCGGUAAUACGAAGGGUGCGAGCGUUAUUCGGAAUGACUGGGCGUAAAGAGCUUGAAGGCGGUCUGUUAAGUCGUCUGUUAAAGAGCCUAGCUUAACUGGGCAAGUGCGGAUGAAACUGGUGGACUAGAGUACAGAAGAGAAAGGUAGAAUUCUCGGAGUAGCGGUAAAAUGCGUAGAUCUCGAGAGGAAUACCGGUUGCGAAGGCGGCCUUUUGGUCUGUUACUGACGCUGUAGAGCGAAAGCGUGGGGAGCAAACAGGAUUAGAUACCCUGGUAGUCCAC